GGUUAUUGAUGUGCAAUCAUUUUUUCUGAUGUAGGUAAAGGUGCGAAAGACUCAUCGAACCACCUAAUAGCUGGUUUCCUCCGAAGUUUCCCUCAGGAUAGCUGUAAUGCAUUUAGUUAAGGGGAGUAGAGAUAUGGGUAGAGGUGCAGGGAGCCUUCGGGUUCUCAACUUAUUUCCAAACUUCGAACCUCCUUGUUAGGCAUUUACCUAACUGGAAAUGCUUAAAUGAAUUAGCGUUACAAGUGGGCUCUGACCGGUAAGCGGUCAUGGCGAAAUGGGAUGAACCAUACGUCUGAAUAAGGUGCCGAAAUGUACUAUCACUGAUACCAUAAAGGGAGUCCAUGUAUUUAGACAGCAGGUCGGUGCCCCUAAAAGCAGGUAUCCGCUAAAGAGUGUGUUAAAACUCACCUGCCGAAUACUAGGGCCCCGAAAAUGAAUGGCGCAUAUAGUACUACCGAUCUCAGACAUCAGUUCUAUUGAACUGAGAGUAGGGGGAUGUGGACAUUUUUGUGAAGGUGCAAUGUGAGUUGGACUGGAAGAAUGUCUAUUACAGAUCCUAAUUGAAGUAGCGAUUAUCCAGGCUUGUAUCCUGGGGGCUGAUGAGGAGUAGGGUUUCUGGACAACUUAAACAGAUCCAGAGUUAGUCGAUCCUAAUCUCAAUAAUGGGAGAAAGGGAGUACAGUUGAUAUUCUGUAACUGACAACAGUUCGCGGCAACGCAUACUAUUUUUCUCCGCCAAUCUUAUACCGUUGGUAGGGAUCUCUUUCCUACAUGACAGUACUAAUACCCAGGGAAACUGGUCAUCAGGCGAACUGCGGCGUUCUGCUGGCAAAACAUAGCU
RNAcentral lists this non-coding RNA (841 nucleotides) under Trichomonas vaginalis G3. RNAcentral's name for it is "Eukaryotic large subunit ribosomal RNA". It matches the Rfam family "Eukaryotic large subunit ribosomal RNA", at positions 881 to 1770 of the family's 3401-position model. The record is from Rfam by way of RNAcentral. Lineage: Eukaryota; Parabasalia; Trichomonadida; Trichomonadidae.